CGAGGGGUGCAAGCGUUGCUCGGAAUUAUUGGGCGUAAAGGGUAGGUAGGUGGUCUCAUUUGUCUGGGGUGAAAGCCUUGAGCUUAACUCAAGAAGUGCCCUAGAAACGGUGAGACUGGAGUCCUGGAGAGGGUCGUGGAAUUCCCGGUGUAGCGGUGAAAUGCGUAGAGAUCGGGAGGAACACCAGCGGCGAAGGCGGCGACCUGGACAGGUACUGACACUCAACUACGAAAGCGUGGGGAGCAAACAGGAUUAGAUACCCUGGUAGUCCACGCUGUAAACGAUGGGUACUAGGUUUGGUGGGUCUUGACCCCCGCCGAACCGGCGCUAACGCACUAAGUACCCCGCCUGGGAAGUACGGUCGCAAGACUA
RNAcentral lists this ribosomal RNA (372 nucleotides) under uncultured organism. RNAcentral describes it as "bacterial SSU rRNA". It matches the Rfam family "Bacterial small subunit ribosomal RNA", at positions 526 to 896 of the family's 1533-position model. The record is from RNAcentral.